GAUGAACGCUGGCGGCGUGCCUAAUACAUGCAAGUCGAGCGAACGGACGAGAAGCUUGCUUCUCUGAUGUUAGCGGCGGACGGGUGAGUAACACGUGGAUAACCUACCUAUAAGACUGGGAUAACUUCGGGAAACCGGAGCUAAUACCGGAUAAUAUUUUGAACCGCAUGGUUCAAAAGUGAAAGACGGUCUUGCUGUCACUUAUAGAUGGAUCCGCGCUGCAUUAGCUAGUUGGUAAGGUAACGGCUUACCAAGGCAACGAUGCAUAGCCGACCUGAGAGGGUGAUCGGCCACACUGGAACUGAGACACGGUCCAGACUCCUACGGGAGGCAGCAGUAGGGAAUCUUCCGCAAUGGGCGAGAGCCUGACGGAGCAACGCCGCGUGAGUGAUGAAGGUCUUCGGAUCGUAAAACUCUGUUAUUAGGGAAGAACGUAUGUGUAAGUAACUGUGCACAUCUUGACGGUACCUAAUCAGAAAGCCACGGCUAACUACGUG
Molecule: ribosomal RNA, 497 nt
Filed under: uncultured bacterium
Lineage: Bacteria
Description: partial 16S ribosomal RNA
Rfam family: Bacterial small subunit ribosomal RNA
Source: RNAcentral